Podarcis lilfordi (Lilford's wall lizard) is the source of this 400-nucleotide non-coding RNA. NCBI's taxonomy places the organism in Eukaryota, Metazoa, Chordata, Lepidosauria, Squamata, Lacertidae. The record is from the annotation of a GenBank genome assembly.
UUUAAAGGGGGUUUAGACCACAUUCUGGUCCAUUGAGUGGGGUUAAUCUCAUAGCCUAUGUCAUUCUCCCAUUGUUUUUUGAUUGCGUCUAGGGGAUUUACAGGAUUUUGGAGUAGUAUUUUGUAUAUUGCGGAUACCGUCCCUUUACCGUUUCCCUUUGUUGUUAGGAGGAGGUUUUCGAAGGUUGUCAGGGGCCUAGUUGCUGCUGAUUUUACUGUUGGGUUGUUUAAGAGGGCAUGAAGUUGGUGUUGUGUUAACCAGGGCAUUUGGGUGUCUUCUAGUUUGUCUUGUAUUUCUUGUGUUGACAAGGGUUUGUUAUUUUUAUAAAAGUCUAUUAGGCGAUAUAAGCCUUUGGUUCGCCAGGUUUUUAUCUUGAGGUUUUGUGCUGCACGGUGGAAUA